GAAAUGCGAUAAGUAAUGUGAAUUGCAGAAUUCAGUGAAUCAUCGAAUCUUUGAACGCACCUUGCGCUCCUUGGUAUUCCUUGGAGCAUGCCUGUUUGAGUAUCAUGAAAUCUUCAAAGUAAAUCUUUUGUUAACUCAAUUGGUUUCUACUUUGGUAUUGGAGGUCUUUGCAGCUUCACACCUGCUCCUCUUUGUUCAUUAGCUGGAUCUCAGUGUUAUGCUUGGUUCCACUCGGCGUGAUAAGUUACCUAUCGCUGAGGACACUGUAAAAGGUGGCCAAGGUAAAUGCAGAUGAUCCGCUUCUAAUAGUCCAUUGACUUGGACAAUACUUUUAUGAUCUGAUCUCAAAUCAGGUAGGACUACCCGCUGAACUUAAGC
Molecule: unclassified non-coding RNA, 378 nt
Filed under: plant metagenome
Description: partial contains 5.8S ribosomal RNA, internal transcribed spacer 2, and large subunit ribosomal RNA
Rfam family: 5.8S ribosomal RNA (bases 1-105)
Source: RNAcentral